This 499-nucleotide ribosomal RNA is filed under the name uncultured bacterium. Its description in RNAcentral is "partial 16S ribosomal RNA". It matches the Rfam family "Bacterial small subunit ribosomal RNA", at positions 28 to 507 of the family's 1533-position model. The record is from RNAcentral.
GACGAACGCUGGCGGCGUGCCUAAUACAUGCAAGUCGAGCGAAGUUUUUCUGGUGCUUGCACUAGAAAAACUUAGCGGCGAACGGGUGAGUAACACGUAAAGAACCUGCCUCAUAGACUGGGACAACUAUUGGAAACGAUAGCUAAUACCGGAUAACAGUAUUUCUCGCAUGAGAGAUAUUUAAAAGUUGGUUAUGCUAACACUAUGAGAUGGCUUUGCGGUGCAUUAGCUAGUUGGUGGGGUAAAGGCCCACCAAGGCGACGAUGCAUAGCCGACCUGAGAGGGUGAUCGGCCACACUGGGACUGAGACACGGCCCAGACUCCUACGGGAGGCAGCAGUAGGGAAUCUUCCGCAAUGGGCGAAAGCCUGACGGAGCAUCGCCGCGUGAGUGAAGAAGGAUUUCGGUUCGUAAAGCUCUGUUGUUAGGGAAGAAUGGAUAUGUAGUAACUAUACAUGUAAGAGACGGUACCUAACCAGAAAGCCACGGCUAACUACGUG